Long non-coding RNA from Homo sapiens (human), 451 nucleotides. The record is from Ensembl. NCBI's taxonomy places the organism in Eukaryota, Metazoa, Chordata, Mammalia, Primates, Hominidae.
GCCAGCUGUCGGGCACUGACUCUCUGGGCUACAUUCUCCCGUGGGUUCUCUUUAACCCGCUUGGUUUCACCGCAGGGGAAUGCUGAAGAGACACAAGUGUUUUUGUUUUCUCUCUUAAAAAAUACAGAAACUGUAAUCUGUUUUACAUCUGGGUCUGACUGCAGACAAGCAAGAGCGGGCGGAAUGGAGUGAUGGGCAAUCCAGCUGCAAGAAGAGGUGCAUACCCCUCUGUAGACAGCACAUCUGUGCAGGUGUCUAACAGCCGCCUCAUGGAAGGAGUCAUGGAAGACGUUAGGCCCCUCCAGUUGGGAUCAAGCAACUGAUGCAAGCUUUGGACCAAAUGAAACAUUUCAAGAACUCAGAUUGUAAAAUCACAAUCAGCUGGAGGAAUUCGGAUCUGCAUCUGGCCCAGAAGAACAUUUUUGAGGAUCUUUUGAAAGUAUCACUAAGA